UACAGAGGGUGCGAGCGUUAAUCGGAAUUACUGGGCGUAAAGGGCGCGUAGGCGGCCUGAUAAGUCGGAUGUGAAAGCCCCGGGCUUAACCUGGGAAUUGCAUUCGAUACUGUCAGGCUAGAGUAUGGUAGAGGGAAGCGGAAUUCCGGGUGUAGCGGUGAAAUGCGUAGAUAUCCGGAGGAACAUCAGUGGCGAAGGCGGCUUCCUGGACCAAUACUGACGCUGAGGCGCGAAAGCGUGGGGAGCAAACAGG
This 253-nucleotide ribosomal RNA is filed under the name uncultured bacterium. RNAcentral describes it as "partial 16S ribosomal RNA". It matches the Rfam family "Bacterial small subunit ribosomal RNA", at positions 524 to 776 of the family's 1533-position model. The record is from RNAcentral.